This 497-nucleotide ribosomal RNA is filed under the name uncultured bacterium. RNAcentral's name for it is "partial 16S ribosomal RNA". It matches the Rfam family "Bacterial small subunit ribosomal RNA", at positions 28 to 507 of the family's 1533-position model. The record is from RNAcentral.
GAUGAACGCUGGCGGCGUGCCUAAUACAUGCAAGUCGAGCGAACGGACGAGAAGCUUGCUUCUCUGAUGUUAGCGGCGGACGGGUGAGUAACACGUGGAUAACCUACCUAUAAGACUGGGAUAACUUCGGGAAACCGGAGCUAAUACCGGAUGAUAUUUUGAACCGCAUGGUUCAAAAGUGAAAGACGGUCUUGCUGUCACUUAUAGAUGGAUCCGCGCUGCAUUAGCUAGUUGGUAAGGUAACGGCUUACCAAGGCAACGAUGCAUAGCCGACCUGAGAGGGUGAUCGGCCACACUGGAACUGAGACACGGUCCAGACUCCUACGGGAGGCAGCAGUAGGGAAUCUUCCGCAAUGGGCGAAAGCCUGACGGAGCAACGCCGCGUGAGUGAUGAAGGUCUUCGGAUCGUAAAACUCUGUUGUUAGGGAAGAACAUAUGUGUAAGUAACUGUGCACAUCUUGACGGCACCUAAUCAGAAAGCCACGGCUAACUACGUG